RNAcentral lists this long non-coding RNA (626 nucleotides) under Mustela putorius furo (domestic ferret). RNAcentral describes it as "lncRNA (ENSMPUG00000027984.1)". The record is from RNAcentral. Lineage: Eukaryota; Metazoa; Chordata; Mammalia; Carnivora; Mustelidae.
CAAGAGCACACCCUAAGAAUGUCCUGUAUACUCAUCUCUGUCUCAGAGUUGGCUUCUUGGGCAAUCCAAGCUGUAAUAUUGAUGAAAUUGUGUGGGUGUCAUGUGUUCUGUCCCAAAUAUGGAAGAGAUUUGGGGACUGACUGGGGCAGACGAUUUCAUGCAGCCCUUUCAUGCAUUCUGGAUCACCUAUGUUUAUUUGCUCCUGCCAUUCGCGUGGCUCUAUUGUUAAGAGAAGAGAAUAUGAGAGAAGAAAAGUUAUGCUCCUUAGAGGCUUUUCCAAUUAACUGUUUGAAGAGUCUUUGAAAAAAAUGCCUAAGUGUGAGGUUAUUUGUAUUCCUAAUUUCAUUUUUAUGUUACACGUACUUUUAAGUGUAAUUUACUAUGGCUUAACACUUGUAUUCUUUUAGGGGCAUUACAAAGAGCAUUGCACAUUUAUUACAGCCCUUUAAAUGGCUGUGUUUUAUUUCCAUAUUCUUUUAAAUAGUUAUUGAGUAGAUUUGGUGCUCUUCCUGUAGUUAAAGUGCAUUUUUUUAUUGUACAUAAAUGGUAAAUAAUUGAUACCUGCCAUAUGCUUCUCUCCCCCUUUCUGAGUUCCCAUUCCCCUUCCCCUCCUCAUUCUCUUCCCU